GCGUAAGUACAUUUGUUUACAAGGCGUCUCAUGACGGACGAGUUUUUUGACAAUGGGAAUUUUCGGUGUACCCGAUGCAAUGAUCUAAGUAUAAGGAAAGAGGUUGGUGGAAAAUGCAGUGGACGCCUUUGUAUUGCCGAUAUUGUUUCACAAUUUAUUACACUGGUGCAUAAAUUGCGUCUGAAAAUCAAAGCCAUGGAUGAGCUACAUCCGGAUUUGGGAGGCUUGGUCGAUACAAUGAAUCGUUUAUCAUUGAUUCCAUCUAGAUUUGAGAGCAAAGAAAAGUUUACCAAUUGGCUCAACACGCUGAACACGAUGCAAGCCUCCGACGGGGCUUUUCCUAUUAAUUCUUUUCUUUUUUGUUAAACCAAGAUUCAGAACUGUGACUCUUUGAUCUUCAACCGAAUAAAUAAACACCACAAA
Long non-coding RNA from Sitodiplosis mosellana (orange wheat blossom midge), 423 nucleotides. RefSeq lists it as uncharacterized. The record is from RefSeq and is a predicted model, not a curated record. The transcript has 2 exons. NCBI's taxonomy places the organism in Eukaryota, Metazoa, Arthropoda, Insecta, Diptera, Cecidomyiidae.